GACGAACGCUGGCGGCGUGCUUAACACAUGCAAGUCGAACGGAAAGGCCCUGCUUUUGUGGGCUUCCCGAGUGGCGAACGGGUGAGUAACAGGUGAGUAACCUGCUCUUGACUUUGGGAUAACUUCAGGAAACUGGGGUUACUAUCGUAUCGCAUCCCCUGUUGCAUUGUGGGCGUUGGAAAUUUGCGGCGGUUGGGGAUGGACUCGCGGCUUACCAGUUUGCUGGUUGGCUAGUGGCUUACCAAGGCAGUGACGGGUAGCCGGCAUGAGAGGGUGGCCGGCGACAUGGGUACUGAGAGACGGACCAGAGUGGUACGGGAGGCAGCGGUGGGGAGUCUUGUCCAAUGGGCGGAAGCCUGAGGCAGAAGCGCCGGGGGCGGGAUGACGGCCUGUGGGUAGUGAACAGCAUUCGCCUGAGACGAAGCGGUAGUGACGGUAAUGGAUGAAGAAGCACCGGCUAACUACGUG
RNAcentral lists this ribosomal RNA (468 nucleotides) under uncultured bacterium. RNAcentral describes it as "partial 16S ribosomal RNA". It matches the Rfam family "Bacterial small subunit ribosomal RNA", at positions 28 to 507 of the family's 1533-position model. The record is from RNAcentral.